GGGGAGGACUGGAGCAGGCAGCAGGUGUACGGCGGAGGUCCACCACCGACCGACCACCCCGUGCAUUAUUUAUGACGGGGCUCGGCAGACUGGGGUCAUGUGACCACAUCAAGCUGGAAAGGGAGCCUUUGAGGAGCAGGCUCUCUGGAAGACCCCGCUGACUGCAUCAGUUGUUGACUCGUGAAAGAGCCGCUGGUCGAGGCGUCAUGGAAAACAGCCGUGCAACUGCCGUUAGCAGCCCUGGCCAGGGACAACUGUGCCCAACAGACAGCCCUGCUAACAGGGGCUGCCUCUGCUCUGCCACACACACACACACACACACACACACACACACACACACACACACACACACACACACACACACACACACACACACACACACACCACACA
Molecule: long non-coding RNA, 390 nt
Organism: Gadus morhua (Atlantic cod)
Lineage: Eukaryota; Metazoa; Chordata; Actinopteri; Gadiformes; Gadidae
Exons: 2
Source: RefSeq, a predicted model, not a curated record